This 62-nucleotide non-coding RNA is filed under the name Acinetobacter ursingii. Its description in RNAcentral is "Fluoride riboswitch". It matches the Rfam family "Fluoride riboswitch aptamer (crcB RNA motif)", at positions 7 to 62 of the family's 64-position model. The record is from RNAcentral. Lineage: Bacteria; Pseudomonadati; Pseudomonadota; Gammaproteobacteria; Moraxellales; Moraxellaceae.
CACAGGAGAUGGCAUUCCUCCUGCUACAAACCGCCAGUGAUUGGCUAAUGAUGCCUACGAUC